This 204-nucleotide ribosomal RNA is filed under the name Loepa katinka. RNAcentral's name for it is "partial 12S ribosomal RNA". The record is from RNAcentral. Lineage: Eukaryota; Metazoa; Arthropoda; Insecta; Lepidoptera; Saturniidae.
UUCUAAAUAAAUAUUGGAAAAACCCCAACCGGGGGCCCCAAAAUUGGGUUUUAAUUUUUACCCCCCCAAAAUUAAAUUUUUAAAAUUUUAAAAAUAAAUACCCCCCCCAAAAACUUAUUUUUUUCCAAAUAAAUGAAAUUUUUCCCCAAAAAUUUUUGGGAAAAAAAGGUUAAAAAAAAAUUUUUUAAACCCAAAGAAAAUUUU